GAACUGCUUAUUUAAAGCAAACGACGGCCGGUAAUCAAGUGCAUUGUGAAAAGUGUAACCAGUCAGAUCCAAAUUGCAGUGAAGAGAAAAGUGAAUAAAUUGAAAAUGAGAGCCUUUAUUAAAAUUUUAUUGACUUUUGUUGUAACUAUGUUGUUGUAUAGUUUGCCCGUUUUAGCCCUUCGACGGAAGGCUUUGCUUUCGGAUGGAAAGUAGAAAAAAUUAAAUUUGCUGUUUCCUGUUGAUGACAACUGUAAAGUAUAAAGGCUAAACGCGAUUACAAAUACAUGCAUAUGCACUUAGUAUGUAUGUAUGAGGUUAAAUUUUUUUAAAUUUGAUAUUACUUUUGAUUUUAUGUAACAAAAUUGUAUAAAAUAAUAAAAAAACGGAGAGCGAA
This is a long non-coding RNA of Anastrepha obliqua, 394 nucleotides long. RefSeq lists it as uncharacterized. Lineage: Eukaryota; Metazoa; Arthropoda; Insecta; Diptera; Tephritidae. The transcript is spliced from 2 exons. The record is from RefSeq and is a predicted model, not a curated record.